Molecule: long non-coding RNA, 427 nt
Organism: Daphnia pulicaria
Lineage: Eukaryota; Metazoa; Arthropoda; Branchiopoda; Diplostraca; Daphniidae
Exons: 4
Source: RefSeq, a predicted model, not a curated record
GAGGAUUCAGACCAUCAGUUCAUUAUCGUCUGGUGUACAAUUCAUAUCUUAUAGUAAAUUGUCCAAACGCCGUUUGAUUCUGAACACAUUUCCGUGAACAGAUCACAUUCUUUAGGAAUUGAUAUUGUGCGAGUGAAACUGGGAAGAAACAUAAAUUGUACUGCAACUCCUCCCUUAGUAUGAAAUGGAUAAACAGGCCACAGUUAACAACAACAACAAAGGAAUAAUUACUUCCCGGAUAUGGCGAGUCGGCCACAGGUGUCAAUCUCCAACGAAGUUUCUUUAUUGAAAUUAUGCCCAGGAGAAAACGUGUUGAAAGAGUCGUGCAGCUCACUGCUGUCGUUCAACCAUUUAUUUGUUCAAAAUCAUUGUAUUCUACUGAAUGUGCCAUCAAAAUGAAACAGGAUUCAUCAUAAUGGUCUGCUGU